CGGGGUGUAGCGCAGUUUGGUAGCGCGCCUGCUUUGGGAGCAGGAUGUCGGGAGUUCGAAUCUCUCCACCCCGACCA
This 77-nucleotide transfer RNA is filed under the name Methylococcaceae bacterium. RNAcentral describes it as "tRNA-Pro". It matches the Rfam family "tRNA". Rfam says of the family: Transfer RNA (tRNA) molecules are approximately 80 nucleotides in length. Their secondary structure includes four short double-helical elements and three loops (D, anti-codon, and T loops). Further hydrogen bonds mediate the characteristic L-shaped molecular structure. tRNAs have two regions of fundamental functional importance: the anti-codon, which is responsible for specific mRNA codon recognition, and the 3' end, to which the tRNAs corresponding amino acid is attached (by aminoacyl-tRNA synthetases). tRNAs cope with the degeneracy of the genetic code in two manners: having more than one tRNA (with a specific anti-codon) for a particular amino acid; and 'wobble' base-pairing, i.e. permitting non-standard base-pairing at the 3rd anti-codon position. RNAcentral also lists the same sequence under 2 other names. Lineage: Bacteria; Pseudomonadati; Pseudomonadota; Gammaproteobacteria; Methylococcales; Methylococcaceae. The record is from RNAcentral.